Molecule: ribosomal RNA, 448 nt
Filed under: Holothuria tubulosa
Lineage: Eukaryota; Metazoa; Echinodermata; Holothuroidea; Aspidochirotida; Holothuriidae
Description: partial 16S ribosomal RNA
Rfam family: Bacterial large subunit ribosomal RNA
Source: RNAcentral
AAUCAUUUGUCUUUUAAAUGAAGACUUGUAUGAACGGCAAAACCUUUUCCAACUGUCUCCCCUCCCAUCCUUUCAAAUUUCUUCCUGUGUGAAGAAGCACAGAUACAUUAGAAAGACGAGAAGACCCUGUCGAGCUUUAACCACUAAGUGGGCCCUAUUUUUUUCAGGCACCACUAAAAGGUUUUGGUUGGGGCAACCAUGGAGAAAAAAAAUCCUCCAGAGCAAAUAGAAGAAAGCUUUUCACUACUAUUUUUACUACUGAGAACCAGGAACUGGUAUUCGGAAAAAGUUACCGCAGGGAUAACAGCGUCAUCUCCUCUGAGAGUCCUUAUUGACGAGGAGGUUUGCGACCUCGAUGUUGGAUUGGGGCCCCCUUAGGGUGCAGAAGCUCUAAACGGUUAGACUGUUCGUCUAUUAAAGCCCUACAUGAUCUGAGUUCAAACCGGAG